AUCUACUGCCAAACCAGCCUAGAAGGGCCCGAUCUCGCCGCGAUCGCGGAAGCUAAGCAGGGUCAGGCCUGGUUACCGAGACCUCUAGGGAAGACCGGGUGCUCUAGGCU
Tursiops truncatus (common bottlenose dolphin) is the source of this 110-nucleotide ribosomal RNA. NCBI's taxonomy places the organism in Eukaryota, Metazoa, Chordata, Mammalia, Artiodactyla, Delphinidae. The record is from Ensembl.